This 229-nucleotide unclassified non-coding RNA is filed under the name fungal sp. Its description in RNAcentral is "partial internal transcribed spacer region". The stretch from base 1 to 46 matches the Rfam family "Eukaryotic small subunit ribosomal RNA", at positions 1786 to 1831 of the family's 1831-position model. Lineage: Eukaryota; Fungi. The record is from RNAcentral.
AAGUCGUAACAAGGUCUCCGUAGGUGAACCUGCGGAGGGAUCAUUACCACUUGGCUCUGCCAAACGUCUCGGGACUCCCCGACGACACCACCCUUGACCACGAUACCUACGUACUUCUUCGGCGGAGACGUCCGCCGGGGGACCCCAACCAAAACUUGCCAAUGUAGCAACAAUAGUCUGAGAAAAUACAAAUAUCACAACUUUCAACAAUGGAUCUCUUGGCUCUGGC